AUUAGAUACCCGUCUAUUCAAGACAUAAAUUACAGUUGAAUAUUACGAACAACAGUUUAAAAUUCAAAGACUUUGGCGGUGUCUUAUAAAAUCAGGGGAACCUGUCUCAUAACUCGAUAGUCCACGCAUACUCAACCCCCUCUUGACACAUCAGCAUGUGUACUGCCGUUGAAAGCACACCUUUAAAAGAAUAGUGUGCUACUAUGACUACAAUUAAACUCAUAUACAUCAGGUCAAAGUGCAGCUAAUGGGGAGGUGAUGAUGGGUUACAACCCUAAAACAGACUAUCAACUAAGAAAUAAAAAAUCUUACGAAAGUGGACUUGACCGUAAUCUAUUUACAAGUUAAAAAAAUGAAUACUAUCUAAGACAUGUACACAUCGCCCGUCACUCUACCCUAAAGGGUAGAUAAGUCGUAAC
Molecule: ribosomal RNA, 419 nt
Filed under: Metaphire tosaensis
Lineage: Eukaryota; Metazoa; Annelida; Clitellata; Crassiclitellata; Megascolecidae
Description: partial 12S ribosomal RNA
Rfam family: Bacterial small subunit ribosomal RNA
Source: RNAcentral